Molecule: transfer RNA, 75 nt
Filed under: candidate division WWE3 bacterium RAAC2_WWE3_1
Lineage: Bacteria; candidate division WWE3
Also listed under: 2 other names
Description: tRNA-Glu (TTC) (tRNA-Glu-TTC-1-1)
Rfam family: tRNA
About the family: Transfer RNA (tRNA) molecules are approximately 80 nucleotides in length. Their secondary structure includes four short double-helical elements and three loops (D, anti-codon, and T loops).
Source: RNAcentral
GGCCCCAUCGUCUAACGGUUAGGACGCCGGGUUUUCAUCCCGGCAACCGGGGUUCGAUUCCCCGUGGGGUCACCA